AAUAGAUACCCUGGUAGUCCACGCCGUAAACGAUGAGUGCUAAGUGUUAGAGGGUUUCCGCCCUUUAGUGCUGCAGCUAACGCAUUAAGCACUCCGCCUGGGGAGUACGGUCGCAAGACUGAAACUCAAAGGAAUUGACGGGGGCCCGCACAAGCGGUGGAGCAUGUGGUUUAAUUCGAAGCAACGCGAAGAACCUUACCAGGUCUUGACAUCCCACUGACCGGUAUAGAGAUAUACCUUUCCCUUCGGGGACAGUGGUGACAGGUGGUGCAUGGUUGUCGUCAGCUCGUGUCGUGAGAUGUUGGGUUAAGUCCCGCAACGAGCGCAACCCUUGAUCUUAGUUGCCAGCAUUUAGUUGGGCACUCUAAGGUGACUGCCGGUGACAAACCGGAGGAAGGUGGGGAUGACGUCAAAUCAUCAUGCCCCUUAUGACCUGGGCUACACACGUGCUACAAUGGAUGGUACAAAGGGCUGCAAGACUGCGAAGUCAACCCAAUCCCAUAAAACCAUUCUCAGUUCGGAUUGCAGG
This 529-nucleotide ribosomal RNA is filed under the name uncultured bacterium. RNAcentral's name for it is "bacterial SSU rRNA". It matches the Rfam family "Bacterial small subunit ribosomal RNA", at positions 777 to 1304 of the family's 1533-position model. The record is from RNAcentral.